CCUACGGGUGGCAGCAGUAGGGAAUCUUCCACAAUGGACGAAAGUCUGAUGGAGCAACGCCGCGUGAGUGAAGAAGGGUUUCGGCUCGUAAAGCUCUGUUGGUAGUGAAGAACGAUAGAGGUAGUAACUGGCCUUUAUUUGACGGUACUUACUUAGAAAGUCACGGCUAACUACGUGCCAGCAGCCGCGGUAAUACGUAGGUGGCAAGCGUUGUCCGGAAUUAUUGGGCGGAAAGCGAGUGCAGGCGGUUCAGUAAGUCUGAUGUGAAAGCCUUCGGCUCAACCGGCGAAUUGCAUCAGAAACUGGUGAACUUGAGUUCAGAAGAGGAGAGUGGAACUCCAUGUGUAGCGGUGGAAUGCGUAGAUAUAUGGAAGAACACCAGUGGCGAAGGCAGCUCACUGGGCUGCAACUGACGCUGAGGCUCGAAAGCAUGGGGAGCGAACAGGAUUAGAUACCCGAGUAGUC
RNAcentral lists this ribosomal RNA (465 nucleotides) under uncultured bacterium. RNAcentral's name for it is "partial 16S ribosomal RNA". It matches the Rfam family "Bacterial small subunit ribosomal RNA", at positions 338 to 795 of the family's 1533-position model. The record is from RNAcentral.